AGGUUGGCUCAGAAGCAGCCAUCCUUUAAAGAGUGCGUAACAGCUCACUAGUCGAGUGACCCUGCGCCGAAAAUGUACCGGGGCUAAGCCUGAUACCGAAACUGCGGAUUGUAGGAAACUAUAGUGGUAGGGGAGCGUUGUAUACGAGCAGAAGCCGUACCGUGAGGAGCGGUGGAUUGUAUAGAAGUGAGAAUGCCGGUGUGAGUAGCGAGAUGUAGGUGAGAAUCCUACACACCGAAAGCCCAAGGAUUCCAGGGGAAGGUUCGUCCGCCCUGGGUAAGUCGGGACCUAACGCGAGGCCGAAAGGCGUAGUGGAUGGAAAGCAGGCGAAAGAUUCCUGCACCCGUAUAUGGAGCGAAGGAGUGACGGAGACGGAUAGUGUGACCCUCUUAAUGGAUUGAGGGCGAAGCGAAGCGGCUGGUUACCAGGCAAAUCCGGUAACCAAAAGGCUAGAGCGUGACAGGUAAGCGAAAUCUUCGGAAAGUAGCGAAGCACAUGAUGACGGCUUCCAGGAAAAGCUUCUGGCAAUGCAUAUGCGGCCCGUACCAAAACCGACACAGGUGGGCAGGGAGAGAAUCCCGAGGUGAGCGAGAGAACUGUUGCCAAGGAACUCGGCAAAAUGACUCCGUAAGUUAGCGAGAAGGAGUGCUUAAGCAAUUAAGCCGCAGUGAAGAGGCCCAAGCGACUGUUUAACUAAAACACAGCUCUCUGCGAAGUCGCAAGACGAAGUAUAGGGGGUGACACCUGCCCGGUGCUGGAAGGUUAAGAGGAUCUGUUAAGAGCGAUCUGAAGCAGUGAUCCGAAGCCCCAGUGAACGGCGGCCGUAACUAUAACGGUCCUAAGGUAGCGAAAUUCCUUGUCAGGUAAGUUCUGACCCGCACGAAAGGUGUAACGAUUUGGGCGCUGUCUCGGCAGCAGACUCGGUGAAAUCUUAGUACCUGUGAAAAUGCAGGUUACCCGCAACUAGACGGAAAGACCCCAUGGAGCUUUACUGCAGCCUGAUAUUGAAUUCUGGUCAUACAUGUACAGGAUAGGUGGGAGACAAAGAGACGUGCACGCCAGUGUACGAGGAGUCGACGUUGGGAUACCACUCUUGUGUGACCGGGGUUCUAACCUGGUAUCGAGAACAGGUACGGGGAGAGUGUCAGGUGGGCAGUUUGACUGGGGCGGUCGCCUCCCAAAGAGUAACGGAGGCGCCCAAAGGUACGCUCAGAUUGGAUGGAAACCAAUCGUCGAGUGCAAUUGCAGAAGCGUGCUUGACUGUGAGACAGACAAGUCGAACAGGGACGAAAGUCGGGAAUAGUGAUCCGGCGGUGCCGAAUGGAAGGGCCGUCGCUCAACGGAUAAAAGCUACCCUGGGGAUAACAGGCUGAUCUCCCCCA
This 1382-nucleotide ribosomal RNA is filed under the name human gut metagenome. Its description in RNAcentral is "bacterial LSU rRNA". It matches the Rfam family "Bacterial large subunit ribosomal RNA", at positions 1098 to 2494 of the family's 2925-position model. The record is from RNAcentral.